GACGAACGCUGGCGGCGUGCCUAAUACAUGCAAGUCGAACGAGAGCGCCCGGUGCUUGCCCUGGUCAAUCUAGUGGCGAACGGGUGAGUAACACGUGGGUAACCUGCCCAUCAGAGGGGGAUAACAUCCGGAAACGGAUGCUAAAACCGCAUAGGUCUUCGAACCGCAUGGUUUGAAGAGGAAAAGAGGCGCAAGCUUCUGCUGAUGGAUGGACCCGCGGUGCAUUAGCUAGUUGGUGAGGUAACGGCUCACCAAGGCCGUGAUGCAUAGCCGACCUGAGAGGGUGAUCGGCCACAUUGGGACUGAGACACGGCCCAAACUCCUACGGGAGGCAGCAGUAGGGAAUCUUCCGCAAUGGACGCAAGUCUGACGGAGCAACGCCGCGUGAGUGAAGAAGGUUUUCGGAUCGUAAAACUCUGUUGUUAGAGAAGAACAAGUGCUAGAGUAACUGUUAGCGCCUUGACGGUAGCUAACCAGAAAGCCACGGCUAACUACGUG
RNAcentral lists this ribosomal RNA (498 nucleotides) under uncultured bacterium. RNAcentral describes it as "partial 16S ribosomal RNA". It matches the Rfam family "Bacterial small subunit ribosomal RNA", at positions 28 to 507 of the family's 1533-position model. The record is from RNAcentral.